GACGAGAAAGUGAGAACGCGUCGACAAAGCGCAGACUUCGCUAUUCGGCACUUCGUGCGCUGAAAGCGAUUCUUUAUAACUUUCCAAGUUUCGUUCAGCAGCGCUGUCACUAGAGGCUAACGCACUUCGUUGUUUGGCCGAUAGGACGACUUCGCCAGUGAAAUUUGGUCGUAUUAUCAGUGUCUGCCAUUUACAAUUUAGUUUAGUUUUACUUUGGACUUCAUCAUUAAUGGUUGAAUAGUGGUUAUGAACGCGCGCUUAACUUGGUGUUAGUGCACAUAUACGUAUAUAUGGCUAUUCUUGAGAAUAUAAGCACAAAACGGAUAAAAAUUUCUUGUUCAAAGUUGAGGGAGGAAAUAUCUUUGUAGUGUAUUAUAAAGUUGAACGCGACAUUACUGCAAGAAUAUGCUUGAGCAGCUGUAUUGCAAUCGUGUUAACUUAUGUAACGGAAGAAAGUAAUAUAAAUACUCGUGGUAUUAUUUUUGUAUAAAAUGUAAAAUGUUACAAAAUAAAAUUAUAAUCCGCAAAGGAAUCUAAGCAUUUCGAAAGAUUUCGGGACAUAUCAGAAAAUCAGCUCCAACAGUGAAAGUGUGACACAAUUUUUGUAGAAAUUAAAAAUGUUUUUCAAACUAAGUAAAAAAUUUCAACAAAACAACGAAGCAUAGUAACAAAAAAGAAACGCAACUGAAGCUUUUUAUAUAAUAAAUUAAUUUAGCAAAUUUUAAAAAGUGCUGAAAAUUAGAAACUCGUAAAAAAUUUUUAUAUUUUUCUGCAACAGUGUGUAGUACAUACACACCGUUAGUUAAUUAUAUAAUAAUAACUAGGUGCUAAAUUAAUAAACUAAAUUCUUAUUUCCACACAUUUAUAUCAUAUUCGAAAGAAAGAAUCCGCUGUAGAAUGUUUAACUAAUUGGUAUAUUGUAUUCGUCUACUAAUAUCCGGUAAUUUAAAAAUAAAACCUUAAAAUAUACAAGCACAGCGAACGCCACAGCUGCUUUUCCAUACUCCCUUCUGAUGCUUCGUAGACAAGUGAAUUACACUCAGUGGAUGCAAACAAAUACAAAUACUUUUAAAGUUACGACAAUAAUUAAAUUAACGCGUCAAAUAUCGGGAAAAUGUUGUAACAAUACCAAAUAUCUUGAAUCAGUCGCCCAACGAAUCAUACUUUUUGGACAAUUUUAAACAUCAGAAACACGCACGGAGUCGCAAACAAUAAAAUCGGCGAACACGGCUAGUUUUGUUUAAGUUUUAUAUAAACGGUGGUGUUUGCAUUGCGAUUAAGCAACUUUUAACUAUCCACUGACUUAUAUAUCUAUGCAACCUUAAUGACUGAAAACUUGCAGUCCCAACCCCACACUAUAGUUUGUACGUGUGACCUCAAAUCAUCAGUAUUCAUUUAAGGUUAGGCUGAUCCUUAAGGCGGUGAUCGCACUUGUCAACCAAAAAAAACAAAACUCCUUUAUUCGACCAUAUAGGUCGACAAAGCGCCUAGAAGUCUACACAAGUCUGCUUAGUUAUUUAAUUCUAUUUCCACCAGCUCAAUAGGAUAUCUGAAAGUAUAAGCUCCCAAGUAUUUAAGCGUUGAGCGAACAGUAGGCAAGCGUUUACUGAGAGUAAGGAGCUCACUGGCGCUUUUGCGAUCAAUUUGGAUUCAAAAGGAUUUUGCGGCAAUACAAGAACCGAUGAUUGCCCAGCGGUGGCCAAGCUCCCGUGAAGCCCAGCUACCCGGUAGUAGUACGCACGAAGAGUGCCGAGCUCCGACCCGUUCCCAUUCUACUGACGACGAGGCUAAUAUGUCUGUCGCUCAGCAGCUUUACAGUUACCUGCGAUUGUGUUGUGGCCUGGCAUCCAUACUAGUUUAAUCACAAAGUGACUCAAUGGCAUUGAUAACAAGGUUAGGAGGCAUUCCAUAACCAGCCUUGAAUGCACGGUUAGUGGACUCAAGACAUUCAACUACAAACAUCGACAGUAACCCGAAUAGUACCGACGGUGGCUCUAAACAUUGUGUCCGUGGUGGUGUGUAUACCAUAAAUGCAAUAGACCAAACAAACAUAAAUCUACAUAAAUAAAUACUAAACAAUAAUUAUUUCUCACAUUUUAGUCGAUUUUCUUUCACUAAAACACCUCGAAUGCCCUCCUCACAACAAGUCAAACAGAUACCAUUAUGUCCAUAGCAGAGCAAAAGAUUAUCACAUGAUAUUCUUAACAUAAAUGUUUAUGGGAAUUGAAGAUAAAACUUACAGCCAUUGACAAAGCUGCUUUAAAAAGGUAAUUAGAUUUCUACCUGGCGGUUGAAAUGUCGUCGUGCAGAUGCAUUAAUGCUGGUAUUUUGGAUUUGUACUACACGCUCGCCAAAAGACAAAACAAUGGCAAUUCGGGGGUUUCACCUUCAGUGGAUUCGUCAAACGCCUUCUCUUCCAAUCAUAACUCACGUGUUAAUGCGGGUUACUUGACGUUUCUUCUUCAAGGGUUACUCAUGUUACUUAGGAGACCCGAAUGUCUGCGGAAAUUGACGCAUUACUUAAUAUAGCGUAGCAACCAAAGUACUCCGCAUUGUAAUGGCAGGAUCUCAAAUUUUGACAACUUCAGAUAAUGUAUCUUUGGAAGUUUAAGAGAAGAUAAACUAGUGGUGCCUCUGAAGAUAUAAAGCAUAAGUUGCAGUAACAAAACAAAAGUGUUCUGCAUUAAUAAUACUACAUGGGGAAACAUCUAGUUUCCAUUUAAUGGCCAACAUACGAUUUGAAGAUACAACUGUCAUAUUGCGCGAAUCCGUCCAAAUAUCAUAAAGGAGUUAAAAACUUAAAUAUAUAUCAGUGAGCACUAGAUGACGGGGUUUCUGAACAAAAAUGACAACGCAGAUUCACAUAAAACGAGUUGUACAGCCAAAGCUUUUAAUAUUGAAUUGGACAAAAGGAAUAUGCAGAAAGUAUUACUAAAAUAUGUUUAGUUAAGCGUGAUUGUUUGGAUUUGUAUUAUAUCCAGAUAUAUGAAUGUAUGUUUGCAUGGAAAUAUGUACAAUUUGUAUAUAAAAUAUGAUUUAUCCCUGUA
Non-coding RNA from Bactrocera oleae (olive fruit fly), 3047 nucleotides. The record is from RefSeq and is a predicted model, not a curated record. NCBI's taxonomy places the organism in Eukaryota, Metazoa, Arthropoda, Insecta, Diptera, Tephritidae.